GGAGCGGCGGUGCCGGCGCAGGGUGGUUCAAGAAUGGGCACAGGAUGAAGGAAUCUGGUGGAUCUUUCACACUCCAUACUACCCCCAGGCAAACGAGGUUGUUGAAUGCACCACUGGACUCUUGAAGAGGAACCUGAAACCUCAUGAACCUGAAUGGGCAAGAGGGUGUCAGAUGGGAUUAUCUGAAAUCCACUGCUGGACCUAUGCUUUCAACUGUUGAGUGGACGGAUCAUUUUGUGUAUUUUUUAGUUUGAUUCUGCUAAGCAUAUUUUGCCUUUUCACUAGCAAAAAAAAUGGUGUGGGAAAAGUUUUUACUCUUAUGUUAUGGAUGUAUGACUUUGUCUCAAGCAACCGAAAAUCAGAGUACUGAACCAAAUUUAGCUUGGGAGU
Long non-coding RNA from Pyrgilauda ruficollis (rufous-necked snowfinch), 390 nucleotides. RefSeq lists it as uncharacterized. The record is from RefSeq and is a predicted model, not a curated record. NCBI's taxonomy places the organism in Eukaryota, Metazoa, Chordata, Aves, Passeriformes, Passeridae. The transcript is spliced from 3 exons.